GAUGAACGCUGGCGGCGUGCUUAACACAUGCAAGUCGAGCGAAGCACUUAAGUGGAUCUCUUCGGAUUGAAACUUAUUUGACUGAGCGGCGGACGGGUGAGUAACGCGUGGGUAACCUGCCUCAUACAGGGGGAUAACAGUUAGAAAUGGCUGCUAAUACCGCAUAAGCGCACAGGACCGCAUGGUCUGGUGUGAAAAACUCCGGUGGUAUGAGAUGGACCCGCGUCUGAUUAGCUAGUUGGAGGGGUAACGGCCCACCAAGGCGACGAUCAGUAGCCGGCCUGAGAGGGUGAACGGCCACAUUGGGACUGAGACACGGCCCAGACUCCUACGGGAGGCAGCAGUGGGGAAUAUUGCACAAUGGGGGAAACCCUGAUGCAGCGACGCCGCGUGAAGGAAGAAGUAUCUCGGUAUGUAAACUUCUAUCAGCAGGGAAGAAAAUGACGGUACCUGACUAAGAAGCCCCGGCUAACUACGUGCCAGCAGCCGCGGUAAUACGUAGGGGGCAAGCGUUAUCCGGAUUUACUGGGUGUAAAGGGAGCGUAGACGGAAGAGCAAGUCUGAUGUGAAAGGCUGGGGCUUAACCCCAGGACUGCAUUGGAAACUGUUUUUCUAGAGUGCCGGAGAGGUAAGCGGAAUUCCUAGUGUAGCGGUGAAAUGCGUAGAUAUUAGGAGGAACACCAGUGGCGAAGGCGGCUUACUGGACGGUAACUGACGUUGAGGCUCGAAAGCGUG
This 735-nucleotide ribosomal RNA is filed under the name uncultured Lachnospiraceae bacterium. RNAcentral describes it as "bacterial SSU rRNA". It matches the Rfam family "Bacterial small subunit ribosomal RNA", at positions 28 to 763 of the family's 1533-position model. The record is from RNAcentral. Lineage: Bacteria; Bacillati; Bacillota; Clostridia; Lachnospirales; Lachnospiraceae.